Molecule: ribosomal RNA, 440 nt
Filed under: uncultured bacterium
Lineage: Bacteria
Description: partial 16S ribosomal RNA
Rfam family: Bacterial small subunit ribosomal RNA
Source: RNAcentral
CCUACGGGUGGCAGCAGUAGGGAAUUUUGCGCAAUGGGCGAAAGCCUGACGCAGCAACGCCGCGUGAUCGAGACGCCCUUCGGGGUGUAAAGAUCUGUCAGUGGGGACGAAACUUGACGGUAUCCCCAGAGGAAGCACCGGCUAACUCUGCGCCAGCAGCCGCGGUAAUACGGGGGGUGCAAGCGCUGUCCGGAUGCAUUGGGCGUAAAGAGUUCGUAGGCGGCGCGAAAAGUCUGGUGUUAAAGGUAGAGGCUCAACUUCUGUACGGCACUGGAUACUGGCGAGCUAGAGUGCGGUAGAGGUAAAGGGAAUUCCUGGUGUAGCGGUGAAAUGCUUAGAUAUCAGGAGGAACAUCGGUGGCGUAAGCGCUUUACUGGGCCGUAAUUGACGCUGAGGAGCGAAAGCCAGGGUAGCAAAUGGGAUUAGAUACCCGGGUAGUC